UACGGAGGGGGCAAGCGUUGUUCGGAAUUACUGGGCGUAAAGGGCUCGUAGGCGGCCAACUAAGUCAGAUGUGAAAUCCCUCGGCUUAACCGGGGAACUGCAUCUGAUACUGGAUGGCUUGAGAUUGGGAGAGGGAUGCGGAAUUCCAGGUGUAGCGGUGAAAUGCGUAGAUAUCUGGAGGAACACCGGUGGCGAAGGCGGCAUCCUGGACCAACACUGACGCUGAGGAGCGAAAGCCAGGGGAGCAAACGGG
This 253-nucleotide ribosomal RNA is filed under the name uncultured bacterium. RNAcentral's name for it is "partial 16S ribosomal RNA". It matches the Rfam family "Bacterial small subunit ribosomal RNA", at positions 524 to 776 of the family's 1533-position model. The record is from RNAcentral.